This 253-nucleotide ribosomal RNA is filed under the name uncultured bacterium. Its description in RNAcentral is "partial 16S ribosomal RNA". It matches the Rfam family "Bacterial small subunit ribosomal RNA", at positions 524 to 776 of the family's 1533-position model. The record is from RNAcentral.
UACGAGGGGAGCAAGCGUUGUUCGGAUUUACUGGGCGUAAAGAGCGUGUAGGCGGCUCGGUAAGUCCGCUGUGAAAGUCGGGGGCUCAACCCUCGAAUGCCGGUGGAUACUGUCGAGCUAGAGUGCGGAAGAGGCGAGUGGAAUUCCUGGUGUAGCGGUGAAAUGCGCAGAUAUCAGGAGGAACACCGAUUGCGAAGGCAGCUCGCUGGGACGUUACUGACGCUGAGACGCGAAAGCGUGGGGAGCAAACAGG